UCAAAAUUUGAAACCCAAGACGAUUAAUUUUUACUGUUUUUAUUUUCUUCGUAUUUCUUUCUUUUGUCAUUCCUCCAAAAAAAAAAACUAUUUUUUGUCUCCUAAGCAAACUCUCCAACAAAUAUUCUUCUCUUUUUCUUGUCACAUUUGCCUGUUUGCCUACCGAAAUCUUUGAACUUUGUCAAAAAAGAGAGGAAAAACCCAUAUUCUUUUUUCUCUCUGAAAAUUAAUCUAAAACCAGAAAUGAAAUCGAAGAAUUGUUGAAGGAGAUCGGCGGACUACUGGAGCAGCAGAUUUCGCUUUCUUCUUCGGCUGAUAGUGAUAGUCUCAGAUUUGGCAACAGCUUCAGCACUACUCUGAGUUCCCUGAUUUCAACAACUAUCUCGUUUUUAUCCUUUCUCGAGCUGAGUGGUGAAUUUCUGCUGGCCUACCUAUUUGCUAGUGGUGAACAAGCCUCGAAAGAUAGGGAAGCUGCUGUUUGGGCUCUUGGUGCAACUGGUGAAGGUUGCGUUACUGGUCUUUAUUCUCAUUUGUCCGAGGUAAUUCUUGUUGUUUUUAACCGGUACACAAAGUUUAGAGGCAGAUUACAAGGUGAAGAAUAAAUGGUGCAUAUAUAACAGUCAUCGGUUUUCCUUAACUCAAUUUAUGCUCUUAAAUUUUUUAUUUUUGCUAUUGCAUUGCUUUUACUUUAUUCUUCUUUGACAUGCUUGCCGCAGAAUUUGAAAAAAAAAAGUCAUAUUUAUGUCUGCAUGUUGUGGCAUUUCUAAGUCCCCUUUUAGAUCAUGCGGAAGAAUUCUUCUUGGACACUUUCUCGAUUCAGUUCAGUUGAGAGCUCUCGUGUUUCCUUUAUAUCAGUCUAGUGGGCAUCAGAAAGGCUAUGAGCAAUUUGAUGCUGUUCUUAUGGGUAUGCUGCGAAGAAUAUUGGAUGCUAACAAGUGGGUAAAAGAGGCUGUUUGACUGGCUUUUGCAAUGCUUGAAGAGGUUAUUAUAAACUUGCUGCACGUUGUAAUUCAGGUUAAAUUCUGAUAGAUUUCAACAAUUGUUUUAUUCAUUUGAGGCUGCUGAAGAGGUUGCACCAAGUUUGGAAAUAAUUGUGUACGCUAGCUUAUGAACGUGUUUUUGUCUAACAUCAGUUUGUUGAGUUGCUUCUCUGAGAAAGCUUUAAUUGGGUUCUGUAAACCAAUACAUUAAGGUUUAUAUUCUUACUUUUAAUGGAUGUCGUUCUGAUACUUUUUGAUGUUAUACAUUAAUUUAUUGAAGGCUUGGUGUACAUCCACGGAUAAAUACCUUCCAGGUUUGUUUGUCCUUGCUUAUGACCUUGCCGCAGAAGUGCUGAAAUUGGUCAACAGUUUCUUGUUUUCUUCUUGUACUCUUGUUUUUUUAUUAUAAUUCUGUUGUUUGCUUGGAAUACUCAAAUCUGCUGUAAGUAUUUCCUAAUUUUGCUUGUAAUUUACUGUAACUUCAAGUUUAUAAAAGCUUGGUAUGAAUCAUUUUUCAUUUCUGACUUUCCAGUUUCAGCAUUGAUUUAGAAGAUGUAGUAUUAGAAUUAGACAUUUUUUUCUCUAGUCCUUGAUGUUAAUGGUUCUUGGGUUUUUUCUGUCACUAGACCAUAAAAUUGCUGGGCAUUGCUAAUAUAUGUUUUAACUAGAAUACUAUGAAAAGAACUGUUUCUGUUAACUUUUAAUAAGAGUUAACAUAAAAAAUUUUCCUUUUUUUUUUUUUG
Durio zibethinus is the source of this 1723-nucleotide non-coding RNA. Lineage: Eukaryota; Viridiplantae; Streptophyta; Magnoliopsida; Malvales; Malvaceae. The record is from RefSeq and is a predicted model, not a curated record.